This is a long non-coding RNA of Athene cunicularia (burrowing owl), 129 nucleotides long. RefSeq lists it as uncharacterized. The transcript has 3 exons. NCBI's taxonomy places the organism in Eukaryota, Metazoa, Chordata, Aves, Strigiformes, Strigidae. The record is from RefSeq and is a predicted model, not a curated record.
CUGAGCAGCGUUGACCCAUAUUCAUUUCCUGAAACAGAAAAUUUACAGAGGUGUGAGUAAAUUGGGUUAUUCAAAGGUACAAUACGUUUUCAUUCUUUAGUUUACUCUAAGCACAAAGUAUGUUUUUUC